CAGCUCUUCAAGUGGUCGGGAUUUUUAUUGGGCUUAAAGUGUCCGUAGCCGGUAUAUUAAGUUCCUGGUUAAAUCUGAUAGCUUAACUAUCUGUUGGCUAGGAAUACUACUAUACUAGGGGGCGGGAGAGGUUUGAGGUACUCCAGGGGUAGCGGUGAAAUGCGAUAAUCCUUGGGGGACCACCAGUGGCGAAGGCGUCAGACUGGAACGCGCCCGACGGUGAGGGACGAAAGCCAGGGGAGCGAACCGGAUUAGAUACCCGAGUAGUCC
RNAcentral lists this ribosomal RNA (270 nucleotides) under uncultured archaeon. RNAcentral's name for it is "partial 16S ribosomal RNA". It matches the Rfam family "Archaeal small subunit ribosomal RNA", at positions 477 to 747 of the family's 1478-position model. The record is from RNAcentral.